RNAcentral lists this ribosomal RNA (490 nucleotides) under uncultured bacterium. RNAcentral describes it as "partial 16S ribosomal RNA". It matches the Rfam family "Bacterial small subunit ribosomal RNA", at positions 30 to 507 of the family's 1533-position model. The record is from RNAcentral.
CUUGAACGCUGGCGGCAUGCCUUACACAUGCAAGUCGAACGGCAGCAUGAUCUAGCUUGCUAGAUUGAUGGCGAGUGGCGAACGGGUGAGUAAUACAUCGGAACGUGCCCUGUAGUGGGGGAUAACUAGUCGAAAGAUUAGCUAAUACCGCAUACGACCUGAGGGUGAAAGUGGGGGACCGCAAGGCCUCAUGCUAUAGGAGCUGCCGAUGUCUGAUUAGCUAGUUGGUGAGGUAAAGGCUCACCAAGGCGACGAUCAGUAGCUGGUCUGAGAGGACGAUCAGCCACACUGGGACUGAGACACGGCCCAGACUCCUACGGGAGGCAGCAGUGGGGAAUUUUGGACAAUGGGCGAAAGCCUGAUCCAGCAAUGCCGCGUGUGUGAAGAAGGCCUUCGGGUUGUAAAGCACUUUUGUCCGGAAAGAAAUGGCUCUGGUUAAUACCUGGGGUAGAUGACGGUACCGGAAGAAUAAGGACCGGCUAACUACGUG